UUCCUAUGACAUCAGACAUACGCACGCACGCUUUGGGGUCCUUCAGCUGAAUGGUUGAAGCGCCUAAUUUCUGUAUUAUAUUAUUUGAAAUGUCAGUAUUUGUAUCGCUCGUGGAUUAAGUUAUAUUUAUUGAUUCACCUUAUUGAUUUGAUUAAAGUGGGUGGUAAUGGAGGAGGUAGAUGUGGAGCCAACAACUACUCCUAUCCCUGGGUUCGACAGCAACCAAAAACACUUGGGAUUUGUGUGGGGUCCUGGAGAUAUCCUGGUUUAUGAGACCAUUUACAAAGCAUCAGGUGGAUCUGCAGGGGGUUGUCCCUUUGUCCACGAGGUCAGGAAAGAUGAGGACAUCUAUUCCCGAUUUUGCGUAAACUCUUCAAUGAGUCCCAUCACAUCUUUGUUGGUCUGCAGAGGAUCAGAGAGGAUCUGCCCAGCAAGAACAAGAAACCCCAGUUUGUCAGUAUUAGCAAGAACUACAGGUCUGUGAUUCGAGCAUGCAUGGAGGAACUCCAGCAAGUCGCAGUUUCUACACAAGAUGCAGCAUUGGCUACACAGUAUGGAAAUCAGGUGUCAAUCCUGCUGGCAGUAGAGCUGAUCUGGAAUCUUUGUGAAGUGUUGUUCAUCGAUGCAGCUCCAGCUGGCUCCCUGGUGCUCCACCUGCUCGACUGGGUGAGGCUGCACAAGGCUGACGUGGAUGAGAAGGCCAGGGAGGUGCUGGCGAGUGAGAGCCCCGCAGAGCACCAGGCCUACUGGGACGUGGUGAUCAGCUACGUGCUGCAGGGCCGGAUGGACGAGGCCAGGCAGGUUCUGGUGAAACAGGCAGCUUUGCAGCCUGCAGCCAGGGUCAUGUUCAAGCUGCUGGACAACUUGCUCAUGAAGAUGCCCAUCUUCAAUCCUGGUGAGACUCAGACCCUGACAGAGUUUGAUGUAAAGUGGAGACACUGGCGCGAGGAGGUGGACCACUGUCUCCAGGACCAGUCCUUUGCCAGCAACCGCCACCUGGAGGACAUCUGUAAGAUCCUGGUUGGUGAUGAGGAUGUUCUCCUGGAGUACAAGGAGCUGCUGAGUACCUGGUAUCACUUCCUGGUCACCAGACUGCUGUUCUCCCACCCCACUGUCAAGCCCACAGAGCUGCACUACUACGCACAGUCUAGCAUGCACAUGUUCCUGGACACGAGGAGUGUCCCAGAGCCCCUGGACAGCAUCCUGCUGGCAGCCUUUGAGUUUGACAUCCACCAGGUCAUCAAAGACUGCAGCAUUGCUCUCAACAACUGGUGGUUUGUGGGGCAUCUGACUGACCUACUGGACCACUGUAAACUGCUCCAGUCUCACAACCUACAUUUUGGCUCCAACCUGAGAGAGUUUCUACUGCUGGAGUACGCCUCAGGACUCUUCACCCAUCACAGCCUGUGGCAGCUGGCUGUGGACUACUUUGACCACUGUCCAGAGUUUGGCCGUGUGUACCUGGAGCUACAGAUAGAGCGUGUUCCUCUGGACACGGAGCGCAAGGCCCUGAAGGUGAUCAGGAUCUGUGAGCAGAGGCAGAUGACUGAACAAGUGAGGAGCAUCUGUAAGAUCAUGGCCAAGAAGGCCCUGAGGAACAACAGACUGGGCUCUGCUCUCUCCUGGAGCAUCAGAGCCAAAGAUGCUGCCUUCGCCACCCUCAUAUCAGAGAGGUUUCUCCAGGACUACUGUGCCAAAGGGACCUUCUCUGAUCUGGACCUGAUUGACAACCUGGGUCCAGCCAUGCUGCUCAGUGACAGGCUUACUUUUCUAGGGAAGUACCGUGAGUUCCAUCGGCUGUACGGCGAGAAGCGUUUCUCGGAUGCCGCCAAGCUCCUCCUCUCCCUGAUGACGGCCAAGAUCGCCCCACAUUCCUUCUGGAUGACUCUGCUGACCGACGCCCUGCCCCUGCUGGAGCAGAAAGAGGUGAUCUUCUCUGCUGAUCAAACUCAUGAGCUGAUGUUCUGUCUGGAGGAGCUGACCUCAGGAAGAGUGUUCCCACCCCAGACAGACCCAUGCAGGAUGAGGACAUCGAGACGACAAAGAUUGAGCUCCUGCGGCUAGCGCUAGCUCGUAACCUGGCCAUGGCCAUAGUUAAGGAGGGGACAGUGGAAGUUUGACCAACACUUAAAGAAGAGCACUUGUCUUUUUAUACUGUACAUAAAACAAAUCAAGUCUGAUCAAAAUGUGCUAUUUGAUAAUAAAGAAAUGUUUUGACAUGAA
RNA transcript from Oncorhynchus gorbuscha (pink salmon), 2223 nucleotides. It is a transcript of the gene named nuclear pore complex protein Nup85-like, with no coding region annotated. The record is from RefSeq and is a predicted model, not a curated record. The transcript is spliced from 19 exons. Lineage: Eukaryota; Metazoa; Chordata; Actinopteri; Salmoniformes; Salmonidae.